Molecule: long non-coding RNA, 4117 nt
Filed under: Xyrichtys novacula (pearly razorfish)
Lineage: Eukaryota; Metazoa; Chordata; Actinopteri; Labriformes; Labridae
Source: RNAcentral
UCUGGAGAGAGUCUGGUUCUUCUGAGAGCUCAGAGGUAAGCCAGGACAAAACUGGAAUUAGGCCUAAAGCUCAAAACCUGAGCUGACUUAUUCUGGUUUAACUGGAAAUAAAUGGUAGCAAGGCUUCUCAUGGGAGAGUUGGUGGUCAGGGAUUGUAGCAGACAGAGUGUUUUGGAGAAACACAGGGGAGAAAUGAAGAGGAGAGGGAGAGCGUGCUGCAUGGAGAAGAAGACGCAUCUACUGUACAGAGGCAACGAUAAGUGAAGGGGAACCACAUUUUCAGACGGCUACACAAACUCCCAUUCCUUUCAAAGCUGUUUGAUAGUUACUGUGUAAAAUAAGUAAGCAUUCUACUGUUUAUCUGUUCUAUACUUAUCUCAUUAUGUAUUUUAAGAACUAGACUGUUUCACCUGAUGAUCAGUUUUGAAUGUUCCUUAAAAAAAUCAACUUCAGAAUACAGAUUAGCUGAAAAAUCAAUUUGAAAAUACUUUUUAAGUUGGUAAAUUUUUUAAAUUCAUUUCAAAAGGAAAACAGUGUAAAACAUUUUCUGGAAUCAGAUCAGAUGCUUUUUCCUUCGGGUUAUGUAGUACUAACUUUGAAAACGCAAACUUGAUAACUAAGAUUGCCCCGCACGUUUCUUAAGGAGGAAAUUUAUCAAAUUAACACACCAAAAAAGCUGGUUUCGUUUUUAGGAAAUCAAAUUGUUAUGACUUUAUUAUACCAAAUAGAUGCUACAUUUCCAUCAGUACUGCAGUCCACUAAUAGAAUUCAAACAGUUGUUAUAUUCUGCAAAGACAGAUAGAAAUAUUUAUCUUAAACUCUUAUAUGAAUCCUCCUUAAAUAAAAGUAAAUAAUUCUGUAGUGGCUGAAAGUAUCCGUGUUGUUUCACUCAGUUUUAUUCUUAUGAUACUUCUUCAAUCAACUUCAGGAUGGAAAUAACGAGACUACGCGUGUAUAUGCUUUAACGACAGUGGGAACGGUGUAUCGCCUCCAUCCUUUUCCUGAACAACUACCUCUCAAUACAGAACAGUCAAUCAACAGUCUGCCCUGACACGUACAAACGUAAGACACAAAAUAAAUUUUUAACCCUUAUGUAUUCUAUACUCAAUAUGAACUGGACAAAUGAAAUUAAAAUACAAUACUAUAAAAUAUGAAUUCUGUAUAUUAUUAAUGUAGUCAUUAAAACUUAAAUUCUAAGCUUAUAUCAUGAAUGGAAAAUGGCAGUAACAAAUUCUUUACUCAUAUAUUUUCCUUUUGAUGUUUGCUGCCAUUGUUCCCCUUUAGAAACUAUUUCUUUCCCCCAAAACUUCAGGUUGUUUGGUACUUGUCAAGGCCUUCUUGUUUUUCAUAGUGUAUUUUACUGCAGAUCUGCUCUAUGAAACACCAUCGAUGAGUGGCAGAAGUUAACAGCACAGUGUUGUGAGGUUAUGACAUCUUGUUCUGGUCUUUUUCAAAUAAUAAAAUGAGCUAAUAUGACAGACUAGAACUGAGCUAAUGUGGUAUUUAUCUAGUACUACUUCAGGCCUCUAAUAAAUUGUAUUGAACUACAUCCAGUGUCACGUGUCACUAAGAAUUAUGUCUGUGCAGAAAUAAGAAACAACAAAUGACUGACUUACUAAAUAUGGGUUUAGAUGCACACAAAUCUAGGCCCAAUAAUACUAAUAUUAUAGUACCAUGCAAUAUUAUAAAAUAUAUACACCUGCAACACAAAACAUGUGAGGAAAAUUUAAGUAUAGCAAGGUUAGUGGAUGUCAAACUAUUUAUUAUUCAUUGCAGAAAAAUUACAACAUUUCUGCUUUGUUGUUACACAUGAAAAAUAAACUUUUUGUAUAACUAAAGCUUUAUUUAUUUAAUAUGUGAAAGGCAUUUUUGUAAUUACUUUGAUACUACCUUUAAUGAGAAGGAAAGAGCACUCUCUUUUUGAAGAAUAAAGAUCUAGUUCGAUGACCACAACACCGUGUUCAUGCAGGCUAGGUCUAGGAUUUAAUAUUUAAAGUUAAGGGGGCGAUAUUUAUUCACAUCUGUCAUAAAGGAGCAGGGAAUGUGGUUUACCUUGAUGUGUUUUGAUUUAUUCUGCAGGCCCUGAGGUUAUCCCCGUGAAUUAGAGAGCAUCAAUAAGGAAAGAGCAUCUCCCCUAUCCCAAAAGUGAUAAUUACCAACAUCACUAUUGAUCCAACUAUUGAUGCAUUGCUAAUUGUUUCUUGCAGUUAUUUAUUUAAUUCUAUCUCUGGCCAUGUGAGUGUGUUGACCUUGUGCAGGAGGAAAUAUAAGGCUUGUUCAGAAGAGGAAAAACACACAUUAAGAUUCCACUUUAAAGCCUAAAACAGCGAGGACUUUUUUUCCGCCCUUUCCAUCUGAUGGAGGAACCUCGGUUAUGAUCUGUUCAUGAGGAUGAAGAGCAUGAGCUGAAUUGCAAUUUGAGACAACUUUGGAUCCGGUUCUUACUCCACUGCAGCCUUGAAGAGUGAUGUUCUUGAAAAUCUCCACAGACGUUAGUCAGAGUUCAAUACGGUGUCAUAUUGAUCAAUUACAACACUACAUUAUCUGGGAUAUAGAAUAAUAAUGAAGAUUAUUCAUCAUUAAGGCUGUAUUGGAUUUAGCACAUCAAAAAUGAAUUCAAAUCUCAAAUUAGUUUCCCUGCUCGUCAACUCAAGGUCUAACUUUUUAUGAGGGUGAAAUUAUAUUUGAGAUAAAUUGUGAAAGACAUUUGGAGAAAGUUCUAAAACUGAACACUGACUCGAGCCAAGUUUUUUUUUGUACGCCUGCUUUUUUGUUUGUGGAAAAACCCGACAGUAUAAAUAAAAAAAGAGACAUGCUUGCAGGUACAGAACUUAUAGCGAUGUGCCAGACCGAAAUAGCUUGAAUUAUUGCAUUUGUGAAGAAAGUUAGAUCAGAUUUGAGAGUAAAACAUUAAAAGUUAGUUAUAAAACUUAUAAAAGUGUGUCUGCAACAGUUCAAGAGUAAACUUAAUAAUUUGGCUGCUCUGUCAAGAUGGUAGCAUCAUUUUUGGAUUGCCAAGAUAAUGCCCUAUUAUCCUGUUUUUGUCCUAGAAUUAUUGAAGAUGUCAAGAAAUCUUAAAUCAUAACUGACUUGUGAGGGAGUAUUGUUUUAAAAUUUCAUAUUUUGAUGUGGUCAAAACCUUAGAUAAAAAAAUCUAUUUAUUUUGUUUGAUUAAGAAGUUAAAUGUUUGUAACAGGGCAUUAGCAUGAUAGAAGAACGGACGAUCCACUUGCUCAGACUUCAGGUGCUUUUGGACACGCACAGCAUGGAUGCCACAUCAUGGCCAAAUGCUGCAUGUGUCUGUCCAUGUGCAAGCAUGUGUGUCGUCCAUGGUUGUCCAGGGAGGUAGUCGGCCUUUGCCAGGACAUCUGCUACCUGUCACAACACUUUUGUGUAUGUGUGUGUGCGUGAGCUCUUAAUUUAGUGUGCCUCGCCUGGUUCUGCCCACCCAUCAGGUACCUGGUUAGACCUUUAGUCGGAGCUGUAACAGAACAUCAGUGAGGGCCAUGUAGGUGUUGAAUGCAAGGCGUGUGUCAGGCUUGUGUCCCAGCAUGACGGUGGGAAGUCCUUGCAGAGGAAGAAGGGGGGGCACUCUCUCUGCUCACAGGUUGUUGGAUUUUGGAUCCUGUCCAAGAGAGAAAGAAGAGGUGAUGACGAGAGUAGAAACAGCACUGCUGGCCUCAGGAUGAGCCUGCCUGACUGCUGACCUUUGUACCUUUAGCACAUACUGUAUAACCCAUGGCUGGAUCUCGCCUGAUUAAUUAUCUUGACACACUGUUAGCGAGGGAUUAUGGCUUUUUUUCCACACACACAUAUUUACAAUGGAUGUCAGGGGUUGAUGAUUUGAAGAUAAUUACAGUGUAUUUAUUUUCUCCCUGCUCUUCCCUCUGUGUCUCCCUCCAACUCCCGCCCCUCCAGAUUGUGAAGCCAAGCCUCUAGCAGUGUAGUGCUGAAGGUGUGUUUGUGCUGUUAUGCCCUCUGGCUUGGCUGCCAGCUUACUCUCACUGAUCUGAGCCAGAAGGCAGACUGCCGAGGAAUACCGAUCACCUUGCCCAGACCGAAUCCUUUGAGCUCUCUCUGGCAUCUUUCCCCCUUCUGCCAGUUUCCUCCUCUGCUC